Molecule: long non-coding RNA, 1905 nt
Organism: Crotalus tigris (Tiger rattlesnake)
Lineage: Eukaryota; Metazoa; Chordata; Lepidosauria; Squamata; Viperidae
Exons: 6
Source: RefSeq, a predicted model, not a curated record
GGCAGGUCCGCCCUCCCAGUAUCUCUCCGGGAGCUGCAAGCGUGGCUGGGGUGAGAAAGUAUUCGAGUUUUUUUAAAAUUGGGAACCUAAAACAAGAACUAUUGUAAAUUAAUGAUGGUAUAAACAAGUGCAGACAAGACUGAGAAGACCACACUGGAAAAGGAAAGCCAGGGUGGGCGUGGCCUGCACGUGACACAUCUGGCCUGUGGGCUGCCAAUUUGACAUGUUUUAGACCAUUGGUUCACAAACUCAAUAACGUUAAGGUGUGUGGAAUUCAGCUCCCAGAAUUCCCUAUCCAACAUUUUUCAAUUAGGCUGCUACAAGCUUCAAGAACUGCUUCUCUGCCCCCAAUCCUAGUUCAUCCAGAGGAGAGGUGAGGAAAAUGCUGCCACAAGCAGUGGCACCAGCGCAAAGCACCACACAAUGUUCUGUCGCGAAUGGCCACAGAACAUGGGCAAUGGCGCAAUAGGUGUUGGGGCUUGGGAGGCCUGGCUGCAGCAGUCCUAAGGCGACAAAACCUCCACAUAAUCAGCAUAGCCAUUUUCCUGUGAUGCAAGUUGUAAGAACGUAAAAGUCUUACAGAAAUCAGCAUAAUCUGGAGAUAGAAAUGAUGGGAUCUGUAGUCUAAAACAAGUAGAGAUCACAAUUUUGGAGAAAUUCUGAACUAUUGUAGCAGAGAAAAGGCAUUUAAAUUUGUUUGUUCUAUCCUUUGUGAUCUUAAUUAUUUAUCAAUUCAUUUGCUCAUUCAACUUAAAUGUUUGCCCAUCGCAAACCAGUCGCUCUGGGCAUCUAACAGUAAAAAUGUUAAAAUAUUAAACACUAGAAGACUAAAUGAUCACAGCUGUUGUGAACAAUUAUGUGUGGCUCCCAAAUAACAAAAGCCUAGUUUAUACUGUUACGGUAAUGUUAUGUAGUAUUUGCAAAGCUUGAGUGAAUGAGGCUUCUUUCACAACUCCUAGUAGAUAAUAAAUAGACAAUACAAGCUCUUCUGAAAGGGUUUUUGGUGACUCUUUCUCCACCUAUGUGGAUCAGCCACUAGAGGACACUAUGUGCUAGCUGCAUGGGCAGUAAUCAAACGUUAUAUUUUAUCCACAUACUGUAUUUUUUGAAGUUCUUUCAUAUGGCACAGCUCAGAACUGAAUCUUGACUCCAACAUCUUUUUAAGACAAAUAUGGCAGGAUCUUUUUCCAAUUUCUUUCUGGGGUUGAGUGGGAAUUGCCAUUAUAUAAAGAUUUUGACUAUCAGUUCCAGAAACGUACUAAGAAUCCUAUUUUUGUUCUGCUUUUGGUUCUCUUUUUCUGAUUUCACUUUCCUUUUAGAGUUAAGUUUAUUGAAAAGACAAUUCAGAGGAGGAAAUUAGAAAAUGUGUUAAUUCAAACUUUUUCUGCACUGGUUUAUUGCUGCUUAUUGUCUUUCGUUUUCUCCAUCUUGGUGACAGAAUUUAGAAAUCAAUUAAGUGUGUGAGAAUGCUUUAUACAUUGAAGCUAUAAAAAUACAUUUUUUUUGCGAUUUGAACCACAAAAACAAAAACAAAACCCAAGCAGAGCAAAACUUAAGGAAGGUUGAUUGCAAGAUUUUCUCAUGACUAGCUUCAUCAUAGUUAAGUUGCCCAAUUAGCUCAGUAUUUUUAUAGGUUCAUGUGAUAUUAUGAAUCAUCAGCAUACAGUAUAGGCUACUUUGACUCAGCCUAUACCAAAUUCUAGAGCCAUAGCAGGGAAGGAUAGAAGGGAUGGUACAGGUCAUCUGAUCAAACUUCCUGCCUAGUGAAAGAAUCCAGUACAGUUAUUCAGUACUUAACAACACAGUUGAGACCGGAAAUUCUAUUGCUCUAUUUCACCUUCUGAGUUUGUUUGUUAGCCACUUUAGUCCUUGUAGAUUGGGUCUGUACAAAAUAUUUGGUCUGUA